This 1479-nucleotide long non-coding RNA is filed under the name Triticum aestivum (bread wheat). Its description in RNAcentral is "long non-coding RNA (TAES_LNC012339)". Lineage: Eukaryota; Viridiplantae; Streptophyta; Magnoliopsida; Poales; Poaceae. The record is from RNAcentral.
CACCUAAAUCCAGCAGCAGUUGAGCCAACCGGGAAGGAGCCACCAUUGAAGUACUUGGGGGAUGAAGAAACAGAAUCAUCUGGAUUCCAUGUGUAAAUCAUGGGAGCUCCUAGGCAUUUGAUCAAACACAACCAACGCCUAGUACUGUCAGCACCACAUCUGCAGCUGCAGGAACGUCGCCGACUAAACGGACUCUGGUGGUGCUAUUGAACGGCCUAGGUGGCCAAGUUUGAACAAAACCUGCAAGAUGAACCCAAGGGGAGCUCCUUCACCUGCAAGAUGAACAGAAAAUGCACAUUAAGGUGACCUGAAGAACCACCAGAUGUUGAACUGAAUAUACACAAGAUAAGGAGAUGAGCGUCCAGGGGGAGGUGGGGAAUAGCUAGCACCUCCCGAGCUGCAGCAUAGAACGGCUUAGCGCAAUGUUGUAGAACGGCUUAGCGCAUGUGCACAGUACCAUCAACGUUGAACCUGUUGAGUCCUGAUUUUUGAACCUUCGCAAUAGUAAUACAUGUACUGGGCGGUACAUGCUUCUGUUGUUGAGCAGCUGACCUACAGAAACAAAAACACUCCUGGGUGGACACACAAAAUCAUGAUAAAAAUAGUGGCAGCAAGAAGCAAUCAGAAGUGAAUAUGCAGUAGUACUAUAAUGGAAUAUUAGUAAAAAUUGAAGUUUAGAUAACUAUGGCACACACAUCAAACAAUAAUUUUGAACUUACAUAAUCCUGAAACAGGAACUUCAUUUUUUAAAAUUUAGCAAUUCUGAAUGCACUAGCUAUGUAAUUGAAUUUUUUAGACCAUAGUAAUUGAACUUCAAGGACAUUUCUUUACAAAACAUUUGUUUUUUCCAUUUUGCACAAUAAUUAUGUCCUUGUCAGUACGACUCAUCAGAAUUGUAGACGGCAUCCUUGUCAGUACGAGUCAUCAGUACUAGUGCUCUUUUUCCAAAGAAAAUGUGUUAAAAUAGAAACAUUUUUCCUGUAUGUAUGUUACUUUUAAUGUAAACCUUUCUUACCAUGGAAAUUAAUGUAGCAAUAAGCAAUGAGAGAUGCCUUCACAGGUGAACAUACAGUUGCGAGAUCACGAGUAACAUGAAGUAAAUUUUUCACUAAAAUUUUGUGAAACAAAUACAUUAAGAAACUUAGUGCAGAAACAAAAAUUUAAGAUAAUGGUGCCGGCCAUGCGACCAGAGAUGUCGCGUGAGCCUGGAAAUUAAGCUAAUGGCCCACCGUUGUGCUCAUUAGUUCAGGGUUAAUUUGCACGAGGCUUAUGGCCUCGACAGCGAAUUAUUUUUGGGCAGUGACUUGACCUUGGACUGGGCGAUGAUGAGCUGGACUUGUUACACUACUAUCACUUGCUUCGUGGUAACAAACCACCAUCUUUUUUUCUCCAUUGGGAAUCUUUUGACGACCAUUUGUCCCUCAAUCAAAGAAGAUCAGUUGUUUUGCCCUCCCAGUACACAAGAAAUAAAAAAGGGAG